UUAGCCUCAUCUUCAAGGUGUGCAAUAACAGAAAAAAGUUGCAAUUCCUUGCCUCCACUGUGAGACAAACCCCAGCCACAUCUCCAGCACAAAAGAACUUCCAAACGCCUGAACCGUAGCAGCCAGGCGUUCCUCCAGAACCUCCUCCCCCAGGAGCUUGCUACACGUACCAGAAAUCUGGCCACUGGGCCAAGGAAUGCCCGCAGCCCGGGAUUCCUCCUAAGCCGCGUCCCAUCUGUGUGGGACCCCACUGAAAAUCGGACUGUUCAACUCACCUGGCAGCCACUCCCAGAGCCUCUGGAACUCUGGCCCAAGGUUCUCUGACUGACUCCUUCUUGGCUUACCGGCUGAAGACUGAUGCUGCCUGAUUGCCUCAGAAGCCCCGUAGACCAUCACGGACGCCGAGCUUUAGGCAGGAAUGUCAGGCCUCUGAGCCCAAGCCAAGCCAUCGCAUCCCCUGUGACUUACACGAAUAUGCCCAGAUGGCCUGAAGUAACUGAAGAAUCACAAAA
RNAcentral lists this long non-coding RNA (512 nucleotides) under Homo sapiens (human). RNAcentral's name for it is "HSALNT0314267". Lineage: Eukaryota; Metazoa; Chordata; Mammalia; Primates; Hominidae. The record is from RNAcentral.